UCUCUAGUAACGAGGAGUUCUCCAACAGCUUCGCUGACCAAUGAGCAGGGAGCACCCCAGCCUCUCCCCUGCAGGGAGCCUGGUCUCCUUCAAUGUGGGAACUCCAGAGAUCAGAGUCUUGUUUUUUCUGUGAAUGGCCAGCAUCUAGUUUAGUAUUUGUCAAAGGGUUGUGCAAUUGCCUUGUAACACAGAAUGUCAAAGUGAAGCUCAAAGGGACUUAAAGAAAUGGGCCAAGACUGUCCUUUCCAGCCUAUUACAUGCCUACUAUGUGCCAAGCACACCUCUAAGCUCUGUGGAUACAGCAUGGAAUGAAACAAGUUCCUGUUUUCAUGGAGGAAGGAAGGAGAGGUGGAGCUGUUCCUGAGGGAAUCAGAUCACCAGACGUCACUGGACCUUUGCCCUCAGCUACUUCCUCCUGCGGGGGAUACUCUGUCCCAAGGGCACCUCUUCUGUCAGCUUCUGCAGAAGGAGAGAGAAGAUAAUGAUACUGGAAGCCUGGAGCUCAGGGGCAGGCUGGGACAGAGCCUAAAACGGUGUCCUGCAACCACCAUUAAAUACUGACUGACUUCAUUAAUGAGUCAUUACCAUUCGGGAUUGAGAGAAGAACAUUAUUAAAGGCUUCAUGAGUGCCAGUGCUUUGAUGUCUUAUGUAUAAUAACUUAUAUUACUACUGCCACAGAGAAAGAAACAAAGCCUGGGGAGGUGAAUUAACUCACCAAAAAGCACUCACCAAAUGAUUCCAAACCCAGGCCUCCCCUGUCCCCCCCCCUUUUUAAAAAUAAAUGUUUUUGUCUUG
Molecule: long non-coding RNA, 796 nt
Organism: Tupaia belangeri chinensis (Chinese tree shrew)
Lineage: Eukaryota; Metazoa; Chordata; Mammalia; Scandentia; Tupaiidae
Exons: 5
Source: RefSeq, a predicted model, not a curated record